Molecule: ribosomal RNA, 2251 nt
Filed under: Glaesserella parasuis HPS9
Lineage: Bacteria; Pseudomonadati; Pseudomonadota; Gammaproteobacteria; Pasteurellales; Pasteurellaceae
Description: bacterial LSU rRNA
Rfam family: Bacterial large subunit ribosomal RNA
Source: RNAcentral
GUUGUAUAGUUAAGUGACUAAGCGUACACGGUGGAUGCCUAGGCAAUCAGAGGCGAAGAAGGACGUGCUAAUCUGCGAAAAGCUUGGAUGAGUUGAUAAGAAGCGUUUAAUCCAAGAUAUCCGAAUGGGGAAACCCGAUGGAUGAAGAAUCCAUCAUUUCAUUAUGAAUCCAUAGUAAUGAAAGGCAAACCGGGAGAACUGAAACAUCUAAGUACCCCGAGGAAAAGAAAUCAACCGAGAUUUUGUCAGUAGCGGCGAGCGAAAGCGAAAGAGCCAGUGAGUGAUAGCAGCAAAGACAGAAGAAUUGGCUGGGAAGCCAAGCGACACAGGGUGAUAGCCCCGUAUUCGAAGUUUUUGUUGUGGUACUAAGCUUGCAACAAGUAGGGCGGGACACGAGAAAUCCUGUUUGAAGAUGGGGGGACCAUCCUCCAAGGCUAAAUACUCCUGAUUGACCGAUAGUGAACCAGUACUGUGAAGGAAAGGCGAAAAGAACCCCAGUGAGGGGAGUGAAAUAGAACCUGAAACCGUGUACGUACAAGCAGUGGGAGCCCGAAAGGGUGACUGCGUACCUUUUGUAUAAUGGGUCAGCGACUUAUAUUUUGUAGCGAGGUUAACUGAAUAAGGGAGCCGAAGGGAAACCGAGUCUUAACUGGGCGGAUAGUUGCAAGGUAUAGACCCGAAACCCGGUGAUCUAGCCAUGGGCAGGUUGAAGGUUGGGUAACACUAACUGGAGGACCGAACCGACUAAUGUUGAAAAAUUAGCGGAUGACUUGUGGCUGGGGGUGAAAGGCCAAUCAAACCGGGAGAUAGCUGGUUCUCCCCGAAAUCUAUUUAGGUAGAGCCUUAUGUGAAUACCUUCGGGGGUAGAGCACUGUUUCGGCUAGGGGUCCAUCCCGGAUUACCAACCCGAUGCAAACUGCGAAUACCGAAGAGUAAUGCAUAGGAGACACACAGUGGGUGCUAACGUCCAUCGUGGAGAGGGAAACAACCCAGACCGCCAGCUAAGGUCCCAAAGUCUAUAUUAAGUGGGAAACGAAGUGGGAAGGCUUAGACAGCUAGGAUGUUGGCUUAGAAGCAGCCACCAUUUAAAGAAAGCGUAAUAGCUCACUAGUCGAGUCGGCCUGCGCGGAAGAUGUAACGGGGCUAAAAUAUAGCACCGAAGCUGCGGCAUCAGGCGUAUCACAAAUACGCCUUCGAUUAACAACAUCGAAUGAAGUGAAACGGAAUAAGAUGUUGGUCAAGCACCCAACACGUUGAGUUGGCAUAAAGUGCGGAUAGAAAUCAGAGGAAUAUUUGUGAUACGCCUGUUGGGUAGGGGAGCGUUGUGUAAGUCGAUGAAGGUGUAUUGAGAAGUAUGCUGGAGAUAUCACAAGUGCGAAUGCUGACAUAAGUAACGAUAAAACGAGUGAAAAACUCGUUCGCCGGAAGACCAAGGGUUCCUGUCCAACGUUAAUCGGGGCAGGGUGAGUCGGCCCCUAAGGCGAGGCUGAAAAGCGUAGUCGAUGGGAAACGGGUUAAUAUUCCCGUACUUGGUAAAGCUGCGAUGUGGGGACGGAGAAGGUUAGGUUAGCAGACUGUUGGAUGUCUGUUUAAGUUGGUAGGUGGGGAGUUUAGGCAAAUCCGGACUUCCAUAACACUGAGAGAUGAUGACGAGUUUCUACGGAAAUGAAGUAACUGAUACCACGCUUCCAGGAAAAGCCACUAAGCGAAAGGCUUUACUAAACCGUACUGAAAACCGACACAGGUGGUCAGGUAGAGAAUACUCAGGCGCUUGAGAGAACUCGGGUGAAGGAACUAGGCAAAAUAGCACCGUAACUUCGGGAGAAGGUGCGCUGGCGUAGGUUGUAAGAGUAUACCUCCGAAGGCUGAACCAGUCGAAGAUACCAGCUGGCUGCAACUGUUUAUUAAAAACACAGCACUCUGCAAACACGAAAGUGGACGUAUAGGGUGUGAUGCCUGCCCGGUGCUGGAAGGUUAAUUGAUGGUGUUAUCGAAAGAGAAGCUCCUGAUCGAAGCCCCAGUAAACGGCGGCCGUAACUAUAACGGUCCUAAGGUAGCGAAAUUCCUUGUCGGGUAAGUUCCGACCUGCACGAAUGGCAUAAUGAUGGCCAGGCUGUCUCCACCCGAGACUCAGUGAAAUUGAAAUCGCCGUGAAGAUGCGGUGUACCCGCGGCUAGACGGAAAGACCCCGUGAACCUUUACUAUAGCUUGACACUGAACAUUGAAUUUUGAUGUGUAGGAUAGGUGGGAG